Molecule: ribosomal RNA, 424 nt
Filed under: uncultured bacterium
Lineage: Bacteria
Description: bacterial SSU rRNA
Rfam family: Bacterial small subunit ribosomal RNA
Source: RNAcentral
UGGGGAAUAUUGGACAAUGGGGGCAACCCUGAUCCAGCCAUGCCGCGUGAGUGAUGAAGGCCUUCGGGUUGUAAAGCUCUUUUGGCGGGGACGAUGAUGACGGUACCCGCAGAAUAAGCCCCGGCUAACUUCGUGCCAGCAGCCGCGGUAAGACGAAGGGGGCUAGCGUUGUUCGGAAUUACUGGGCGUAAAGCGCGUGUAGGCGGUUAUCCAAGUCAGGUGUGAAAGCCUUGAGCUCAACUCAAGAAAUGCACUUGGUACUGGGUGACUAGAGGACCGGAGAGGAUAGUGGAAUUCCCAGUGUAGUGGUGAAAUACGUAGAGAUUGGGAAGAACACCAGUGGCGAAGGCGGCUAUCUGGACGGUUUCUGACGCUAAGACGCGAAAGCGUGGGGAGCAAACAGGAUUAGAUACCCCCGUAGUCC